RNAcentral lists this ribosomal RNA (491 nucleotides) under uncultured bacterium. RNAcentral's name for it is "partial 16S ribosomal RNA". It matches the Rfam family "Bacterial small subunit ribosomal RNA", at positions 29 to 506 of the family's 1533-position model. The record is from RNAcentral.
AGUGAACGCUGGCGGUAGGCCUAACACAUGCAAGUCGAACGGCAGCACAGUAAGAGCUUGCUCUUACGGGUGGCGAGUGGCGGACGGGUGAGGAAUACAUCGGAAUCUACUUUUUCGUGGGGGAUAACGUAGGGAAACUUACGCUAAUACCGCAUACGACCUACGGGUGAAAGCAGGGGAUCUUCGGACCUUGCGCGAUUGAAUGAGCCGAUGUCGGAUUAGCUAGUUGGCGGGGUAAAGGCCCACCAAGGCGACGAUCCGCAGCUGGUCUGAGAGGAUGAUCAGCCACACUGGAAAUGAGACACGGUCCAGACGCCUACGGGAGGCAGCAGUGGGGAAUAUUGGACAAUGGGCGCAAGCCUGAUCCAGCCAUACCGCGUGGGUGAAGAAGGCCUUCGGGUUGUAAAGCCCUUUUGUUGGGAAAGAAAAGCAGCAGGUUAAUACCCCGCUGUUCUGACGGUACCCAAAGAAUAAGCACCGGCUAACUUCGU